GACGAACGCUGGCGGCGUGCUUAACACAUGCAAGUCGAACGGAAAGGCCCUGCUUUUGUGGGGUGCUCGGGUGGCGAACGGGUGAGUAACACGUGAGUAACCUGCCCUUGACUUUGGGAUAACUUCAGGAAACUUGGGCUAAUACCGGAUAGGAGCUCCUGCUGCAUGGUGGGGGUUGGAAAGUUUCGGCGGUUGGGGAUGGACUCGCGGCUUAUCAGCUUGUUGGUGGGGUAGUGGCUUACCAAGGCUUUGACGGGUAGCCGGCCUGAGAGGGUGACCGGCCACAUUGGGACUGAGAGACGGAGCAGAGUCCUACGGGAGGCAGCAGUGGGGAAUAUUGCACAAUGGGCGGAAGCCUGAUGCAGCAACGCCGCGUGCGGGAUGACGGCCUUCGGGUUGUAAACCGCUUUCGCCUGUGACGAAGCGUGAGUGACGGUAAUGGGUAAAGAAGCACCGGCUAACUACGUG
RNAcentral lists this ribosomal RNA (468 nucleotides) under uncultured bacterium. Its description in RNAcentral is "partial 16S ribosomal RNA". It matches the Rfam family "Bacterial small subunit ribosomal RNA", at positions 28 to 507 of the family's 1533-position model. The record is from RNAcentral.